UACGUAGGGCGCAAGCGUUGUCCGGAAUUAUUGGGCGUAAAGAGCUCGUAGGCGGCUUGUCACGUCGGGUGUGAAAGCCCGGGGCUUAACCCCGGGUCUGCAUUCGAUACGGGCAGGCUAGAGUGUGGUAGGGGAGACUGGAAUUCCUGGUGUAGCGGUGAAAUGCGUAGAUAUCUGGAGGAAUACCGGUGGCGAAGGCGGCAUCCUGGACCGGCAUUGACGCUGAUGAGCGAAAGCUAGGGGAGCAAACGGG
RNAcentral lists this ribosomal RNA (253 nucleotides) under uncultured bacterium. RNAcentral describes it as "partial 16S ribosomal RNA". It matches the Rfam family "Bacterial small subunit ribosomal RNA", at positions 524 to 776 of the family's 1533-position model. The record is from RNAcentral.